RNAcentral lists this small RNA (573 nucleotides) under Pan troglodytes (chimpanzee). Its description in RNAcentral is "retained intron". The record is from RNAcentral. Lineage: Eukaryota; Metazoa; Chordata; Mammalia; Primates; Hominidae.
GGGGGCUGGAGUGACACGCCACCCCUUGCCUAUGAGCUUGGCGGGGCUGUGCUGGGCCUGGCUGUGCGAGUGGACGGCCGCCGGCCCAUCGGAGCCAGGGCACGCCGCAUCCCGGAGCCUGAGCUGUGGCUGGCGGUGGGGCCUCGGCAGGAUGAGAUGACUGUGAAGAUAGUGUGCCGGUGCCUGGCUGACCUGCGGGACUACUGCCAGCCUCAUGCCCCAGGGGCCCUGCUGAAGGCGGCCUUCAUCUGUGCAGGGAUUGUGCAUGUCCACUCGGAACUCCAGCUGAGUGAGCAGCUGCUCCGCACCUUUGGGGGCGGCUUUGAGCUGCACACCUGGUCUGAGCUGCCCCACGGCUCUGGCCUGGGCACCAGCAGCAUCCUGGCAGGCACUGCCCUGGCUGCCUUGCAGCGAGCCGCAGGCCGGGUGGUGGGCACGGAAGCCCUGAUCCACGCAGUGCUGCACCUGGAGCAGGUGCUCACCACUGGUAUGUGACUGCCCUGGAGUUGGAGGAGGUCACUGACACUUUCCCAAGGGCCCGCGGGGGGAGUGGGGCUCCCCUGGAUUUGCAUG